CGUGUAGGCGGGAAUACAAGUCAGAUGUGAAAUACUGCGGCUCAACUGCAGAACGGCAUCUGAAACUGUAUUUCUUGAGUACUGGAGAGGAAAGCGGAAUUCCUAGUGUAGCGGUGAAAUGCGUAGAUAUUAGGAGGAACACCGGUGGCGAAGGCAGCUUUCUGGACAGUAACUGACGCUGAGACGCGAAAGCGUGGGGAGCAAACAGGAUUAGAUACCCUGGUAGUCC
Molecule: ribosomal RNA, 229 nt
Filed under: uncultured bacterium
Lineage: Bacteria
Description: partial 16S ribosomal RNA
Rfam family: Bacterial small subunit ribosomal RNA
Source: RNAcentral